UUUCCGUAGGUGAACCUGCGGAAGGAUCAUUAAUGAGUUGUCAUGGGGUUCGAUGCUGGCAGCCAGUUUUUGGAUGCAUGUGCUUGCCCUAACAAUCAUCUUCUUCCAAACACCUGUGCACAUUUUUGAGGGAGUCUUGAGUUGGUUGCCGCUCUUGGGUGAUUUUCUCACAUUCCCUUAAAUCACUAUACGCUAUUAACAAUGUUGAACGUGCUCUGUGCCGCAAGGCCAUUAAUAUAAUACAACUUUCAACAACGGAUCUCUUGGCUCUC
RNAcentral lists this unclassified non-coding RNA (272 nucleotides) under plant metagenome. RNAcentral's name for it is "partial contains small subunit ribosomal RNA, internal transcribed spacer 1, and 5.8S ribosomal RNA". The record is from RNAcentral.